Molecule: ribosomal RNA, 443 nt
Filed under: Carphurus sp. COL0720
Lineage: Eukaryota; Metazoa; Arthropoda; Insecta; Coleoptera; Melyridae
Description: SSU rRNA
Rfam family: Eukaryotic small subunit ribosomal RNA
Source: RNAcentral
CGAGGCCCCGUAAUCGGAAUGAGUACACUCUAAANCCUUUAACGAGGAUCAAUUGGAGGGCAAGUCUGGUGCCAGCAGCCGCGGUAAUUCCAGCUCCAAUAGCGUAUAUUAAAGUUGUUGCGGUUAAAAAGCUCGUAGUCGGAUUUGUGUCUCGCGCCGCCGGUUCAUCGUCCGCGGUGUUAACUGGCGUGUCGCGAGACGUAUUGCCGGUGGGCUCAGCCGGCGACGGCGGCCCGUUUAAUCCCGCCGCGGUGCUCUUCACUGAGUGUCGAGGUAGGCCGGCACGUUUACUUUGAACAAAUUAGAGUGCUUAAAGCAGGCUAAAAUAUCGCCUGAAUAUUGUGUGCAUGGAANAAUGGAAUAGGACCUCGGNUCUAUUUUGUUGGUUUUCGGAACCCCGAGGUAAUGAUUAAUAGGAACGGAUGGGGGCAUUCGUAUUGCGG